Molecule: ribosomal RNA, 489 nt
Filed under: uncultured bacterium
Lineage: Bacteria
Description: partial 16S ribosomal RNA
Rfam family: Bacterial small subunit ribosomal RNA
Source: RNAcentral
CCUGAUCCAGCAACSCCGCGUGGGKGAGAAGGCCUUYGGGUUGUAAACCCCUUUCAGGGGGGAAAAAAAGGCUGGGGUUAAUACCCCGGGGGCUUGACGGUACCUCCAAAGGAAGCCCCGGCUAACUCCGUGCCAGCAGCCGCGGUAAUACGGAGGGGGCAAGCGUUGUUCGGAAUUAUUGGGCGUAAAGGGCGCGUAGGCGGUCUGUUAAKUCAGAWGUGAAAUCCCUSGGCUCAACCCAGGAACUGCCUUUGAAACUGCCUGGCUUGAGUYYGGGAGAGGGGAGGGGAAUUYCCGGUGUAGCGGUGAAAUGCGUAGAWAUCGGGAGGAACACCAGUGGCGAAGGCGGCUUCCUGGACCGAUYCUGACGCUGAGGCGCGAAAGCGUGGGGAGCAAACAGGAUUAGAUACCCUGGUAGUCCACGCCGUAAACGAUGAGCACUAGGUGUUGCGGGUAUUGACCCCUGCMGUGCCGMAGCUAACGCAUUAA